Molecule: ribosomal RNA, 1068 nt
Filed under: Alicyclobacillus sp. enrichment culture clone MRT18-31
Lineage: Bacteria; Bacillati; Bacillota; Bacilli; Caryophanales; Alicyclobacillaceae
Description: bacterial SSU rRNA
Rfam family: Bacterial small subunit ribosomal RNA
Source: RNAcentral
CUCCUACGGGAGGCAGCAGUAGGGAAUCUUCCGCAAUGGGCGCAAGCCUGACGGAGCAACGCCGCGUGAGUGAGGAAGGCCUUCGGGUUGUAAAACUCAGUCACCUGGGAAGAGAGGUAUGGGGAGUGGAAUGCCCCAUACGAGACGGUACCAGGGGAGGAAGCCCCGGCUAACUACGUGCCAGCAACCGCGGUAAUACGUAGGGGGCAAGCGUUGUCCGGAAUCACUGGGCGUAAAGCGUGCGUAGGCGGUCUUUCAAGUCCGGGGUGAAAACUCAAGGCUCAACCUUGAGAAUGCCUUGGAAACUGGGGGACUUGAGUACUGGAGAGGCAAGGGGUAUUCCACGUGUAGCGGUGAAAUGCGUAGAGAUGUGGAGGAAUACCAGUGGCGAAGGCGCCUUGCUGGACAGUGACUGACGCUGAGGCACGAAAGCGUGGGGAGCAAACAGGAUUAGAUACCCUGGUAGUCCACGCCGUAAACGAUGAGUGCUAGGUGUUGGGGGUUCAUCCCCUCAGUGCCGAAGGAAACCCAAUAAGCACUCCGCCUGGGGAGUACGGUCGCAAGACUGAAACUCAAAGGAAUUGACGGGGGCCCGCACAAGCAGUGGAGCAUGUGGUUUAAUUCGAAGCAACGCGAAGAACCUUACCAGGGCUUGACAUCCCUCUGACCGGUUCAGAGAUGGGCCUUCCCUUCGGGGCAGAGGAGACAGGUGGUGCAUGGUUGUCGUCAGCUCGUGUCGUGAGAUGUUGGGUUAAGUCCCGCAACGAGCGCAACCCUUGACCUGUGUUACCAGCACGUAAUGGUGGGGACUCACAGGUGACUGCCGGCGUAAGUCGGAGGAAGGUGGGGAUGACGUCAAAUCAUCAUGCCCUUUAUGUCCUGGGCUACACACGUGCUACAAUGGGCGGUACAACGGGAAGCGAGACCGCGAGGUGGAGCGAAACCCAAAAAGCCGUUCGUAGUUCGGAUUGCAGGCUGCAACCCGCCUGCAUGAAGCCGGAAUUGCUAGUAAUCGCGGAUCAGCAUGCCGCGGUGAAUCCGUUCCCGGGCCUUGCACACACCGCCCGU